RNAcentral lists this ribosomal RNA (301 nucleotides) under uncultured bacterium. RNAcentral's name for it is "partial 16S ribosomal RNA". It matches the Rfam family "Bacterial small subunit ribosomal RNA", at positions 509 to 807 of the family's 1533-position model. The record is from RNAcentral.
CAGUAGCCACGGUAAUACGUAGGGUGCAAGCGUUAAUCGGAAUUACUGGGCGUAAAGCGCACGCAGGCGGUCUGACAAGUCAGAUGUGAAAUCCCCGGGCUUAACCUGGGAACUGCAUUUGAAACUGUCAGGCUGGAGUCUUGUAGAGGGGGGUAGAAUUCCAGGUGUAGCGGUGAAAUGCGUAGAGAUCUGGAGGAAUACCGGUGGCGAAGGCGGCCCCCUGGACAAAGACUGACGCUCAGGUGCGAAAGCGUAGGGAGCAAACAGGAUUAGAUACCCCUGUAGUCCCUGUCUCUUAUAC